Molecule: long non-coding RNA, 116 nt
Organism: Drosophila subobscura
Lineage: Eukaryota; Metazoa; Arthropoda; Insecta; Diptera; Drosophilidae
Exons: 3
Source: RefSeq, a predicted model, not a curated record
GAGAGAGUGAGGGGUUUGCCAGCGCAGCUUGAAUGGAGUCGAAUGCCUAAGCACAUUUCGUUUAGGAGGAUUAACCUUUGAAGAGAUGUAAUGUCCUUCAAGCAGAUGUCACUGAU